Molecule: long non-coding RNA, 1122 nt
Organism: Schistocerca nitens (vagrant locust)
Lineage: Eukaryota; Metazoa; Arthropoda; Insecta; Orthoptera; Acrididae
Exons: 3
Source: RefSeq, a predicted model, not a curated record
AGCUGACGGACAUUGAGUGGCUGCAGCAGUCCGAAAUGCACUUUUUUAUCGCAGUCAGUUGUGUGAGGCACAUAUUCUUCAUUGUUGUAAAUGUUGCUAUGGAUCAAGAGGAGGAUCGGAUUCUAGGAGAGGCUUAUGUCGUGAAUGAUGACCAAGAGUCAUCAUUUCCAUCAGAUGAGUACAGCCAGAUGGAUCGGUGACUCCACAACAACAAUCCCAGCGAGGGUGAAAUACAGGAGUGAAAGCUGCUGAAAGGCAAUGCGAUCACUCCCUUCUGGAAGAGGAAGUGGAGAUAUUUGACUGGGUUGGAGAGCUAGCAGAAAUAUCGACUGAACUGUUCAAUCCUGGGACUCAGAGAGUAAAAGAGGUGUCAAUAACACUGCCACCACAACAGUUUGCUGUGGGAUGUGCACCUAGAGCGGUGGUUUUGGGGACCCCCGAGCGACAUCUACUGUUGUGCUAAGCGCCGCUCGUUGCUGUUCAAGAGGCAAAGCAGCCACAGCUGCUGCAGUGCUGGCACCCGCACCAUCGCAUACCCUCUGGCGUCCAUGGGUGGUUCAGUCAGAGCAACAAUCUCCCAACCCCAGGCUAGCGAUGGUGAAGGCUUCAACAUUCGCUAGCAUCAACAAGCGUGGGUGGUUCCACAGGAACUCACCACCGCCACCUCCUCCUACUCCGACUCCAGCGGCAGCGAAAGGAAUGUGUGCCUUGGCGCACGCCUCUCCCCCCUGAAGACGCCCCCUCACCUGCGCCUUGAUUGAACAGGCGGACACAGUUAUCUCUUAGUUGUAGUGUUAAUGAUAAUGGACUUGGGGCUAGCGGUAGUGCUCUAUCCCGCUCUGAUAUCGAAGGACAUCAGAUUAGCAGCAUCAUCUAGAAAACCCCACCAUUGCUGUGAGGUGAACCCGCGGUCACCCGCGACCGUGAAUAUCACGUUCGCUUUGGUAUCGACGUUUGGCCCGGAAUAUUGAGCGACAGGUUGUAAUGGUUCUUUAUUUACGUGACCAUUACGGCACUUCAACCCCAGUUCUCGAUACCAGUAAUAUCGUACUACUUUUCUGCGAAGUAACAGACAUAUUUUUGUGACAAUAUUCACAUUUGGUUUUGUUAAUGUAUAGGUAC